CUCCGCGCCCGCCUCGGCCGGCCGACCGGCUCGCUCGGCACGCGCCGGCCCCGCUCGCCUUCGCUUCGGCCGCGAGCAGCAGCAGCAGCAGCAGCAGCGUCUCCGCCUUCCUCGCUCCCGCCGCGGCGUCUUCCCGGGAAGUUCGCGGCGGGGCCGGCCGCGCCGCUCCUCCGUCCCCGGCCAGGCUCGGCCAUGCGGGGGCGCCGCGUCCUUGGCGGCGGCGGCGGCGGGGGCGGCCGCUGCUGCGCUCGGCGGGGCCGCCUGGCCGCCCCGACGGCCUCCCCCGGCGUGACUCGGGCUCCGGGCCGGGGCUGAACCGGACGGGUUUCUGCCCGGCUCGCCCACCCCGCCGCCGCCAGGAUGGGCUACACGGACCCGACCUUCAACCGGGACCUGCUGGGGAACCGAACUUUGCUCUUCAUUUUCGUCUGCGCCUUCGCCCUGGUCACCCUGCUGCAGCAGAUCCUCUCCGGGAGGAACUACCUGAAGAGCCUGUGGUGUGAACGGAGCCUUGCAGGUCAUCUCUCAGGUGAGCCGCACUUUAGCUGGCAGAGGGAUGAGGAACGGGCGAACUGGACCAACAGCUCCAAUUUCAUGGAUGGUGGAGUUCUGAGGAGUGGAAAUGGCCCAGGCAGCAGGUACUUUGAAUAUUAUGACGGUCCUUUUGAGUACAACUCUACAAAAUGUGUGGAUCUAAGGCGGGAAAUAAUGGCAUUGAAGGUUCUGACGGUAGCGAAGCAGACCGAAUUGUUCGAAAGAUGGAGGAACCUUCAGAUCUGCAAAUGGGAGAUGAAUAUCACAGAGGCCAAGUUCUUCAAGUCUACUUUGUCCAGAUGUUGCAAUGCACCAGCAUUCCUCUUCACCACACAAAAGAACACACCCCUGGGAACAGACUUGAAAUACGAAGUGGAUACCAGCGGCAUUUUCCAUAUCAACGUCGAAGUAUUCAGAAUGUUUCCUAAGGAGAUGCCCUAUUCUCGUUCCCAGUUUAAGAAAUGUGCAGUGGUUGGAAACGGAGGAAUUUUGAAGAACAGCGGAUGUGGUCAGGAGAUCGACAAUGCCGAUUUUGUGUUACGAUGCAAUUUGCCGCCCAUAUCGAGGAAGUACGAGGCAGAUGUCGGUGUGAAGACUAACGUGGUGACGGUCAACCCGAGCAUAAUAACCGAAAGGUUCCAGAGGCUGGAGAAAUGGAGGCGGCCCUUUUACCAAGUCUUGAAAGCGUACGAAAACGCCUCCGUGUUGCUCCCGGCCUUCUACAACACCCACAACACCGACGUCUCCAUCAGGGUCAGGUACGUCCUGGACGACUUCGAAUCCAAGAAGGCCGUCUACUUUUUCCACCCCAAAUAUCUCACCAACGUCUCGCGCUACUGGCUGACGCAAGGGGUGCGGGCCAAGCGGGUCACCACGGGGCUGAUCCUGGCGACGGCCGCCUUGGAGCUGUGCGAAGAGGUCCACCUCUUUGGAUUCUGGGGUUUCUCCAUGAACCCCUCAGGGACGUUCAUCACUCACCAUUACUAUGACAACGUCAAACCUCGGCCCGGGUUCCACGCGAUGCCUUCGGAGAUGCUCAACUUCCUCCGCCUGCACAGCAGGGGGGUUUUACGAGUCCACACGGACGCCUGCAGCUACUCCUGAUCCCCCGUUCUCGACGGGUGGAUUCGUGUUUCUUUUUUUCUCUCUCUUCUUUUUUUUUUUUAAAAAAAGAAAGUGAAAUAAUGGGUGUUUCGGGGGUCCUGGGCCACAUCCCUGAAGCAGGAACGUCGCGGAGGGGGUGUGGGAUACGUUGGGCCGGGCGCUCGGUUCACACGGAUUUUAACGCUUCGAGGAAAAUUACGCAAUAAUUUUCGAGCUUCGGUUCCUCGCCGGGUUUUGCUUCCCUUCGGAGUCGGGGGGGUCCCGCCGCCCUCCUCCACUCGCCAGACGUGUCGGGCUGUUUGUGGUCUCUCGGGGGAAGCCCCGCUCAGCGUUGUAGGAAUAAGGAGCACCCCGCCCCGGAGCCUCCUACAAGUAAAGCACAUUAGCUCAAGAUUUUUCCAGUAGAAAUAACAGCACAUCGCUACCAGGGUUUGUGUGUAUUUCGUCUCUGGGACAGGAGCUGAGAAACAGGAAAUGCAGCCAGUCCUAUUCAUUCACCUGUUGGGAUUAUGCACCACUUCGCCUCCAGUGAAUUGAGCUUUAAUCAUGGAGCAAAAGGCCACCAAGGAGAAAACUACUAUUUAUAAACAGGGAGAAAACCCUACACUCAACUGACACUGAUGAUGUUACCUAGUUGGGUAACGAGAUGUCUACACAUAAACAACCAAGCUCAGACAGCACUAAGGACUCUGCAGAUCAGUUCUGAGCUACAUGAUGUCUAUUCUACCGUGUUUUUGAGUGUUUGUCAGAAAUUGUUCAUGAAAAUACAGAAAGGAAACAGAAAACAGUAAUGGGAAAUACGGUGUCUUCUGUGAGAGAGACUGUUUAGUCUUGUGUUAUUAACAUAGCUUAAGAUGCAAAUCAAAAAAUGCAAUAUACAUGUACAAUUGAUUGUAUUUGUCUGGCUUGGAUCCAGUUAAGGUAUUUGGAAGAAGGGGAAAAAAAUAUUUUGCAGUUGAUAGAUCCAUUCAUGGUCCUGUUUUUAACCCACUAUUCCUUUGCUCAAACCCUCAAAACUAUAAUUUGGAUUUUUUUUCCUCUCUCUCUCUUUAAUGUAUUGUACGAUGCGAACAAAAGCCUAUAAUUUGAUGUAAGCCAUAUCUUUUGAAAAAUAGCAAAUCAGGGUUAUUUUCAUCAGCUACUGUGUUAACUAUGCUUGAGAGACAAACAUUUAAUAAAUAAAACCAGUUCUGUCAAUUCCAUUUGAAAAA
Crotalus tigris (Tiger rattlesnake) is the source of this 2849-nucleotide RNA transcript. It is a transcript of the gene named ST8 alpha-N-acetyl-neuraminide alpha-2,8-sialyltransferase 5, with no coding region annotated. The transcript is spliced from 10 exons. The record is from RefSeq and is a predicted model, not a curated record. Lineage: Eukaryota; Metazoa; Chordata; Lepidosauria; Squamata; Viperidae.